This 3469-nucleotide long non-coding RNA is filed under the name Sus scrofa (pig). Its description in RNAcentral is "lncRNA (ENSSSCG00000055478.1)". The record is from RNAcentral. Lineage: Eukaryota; Metazoa; Chordata; Mammalia; Artiodactyla; Suidae.
AAGUAAAUACUAUGUGAUGUCUUAGAGCAGAAAAGAGAAAGGACAUUAGGUAAAAACUAAGGAAAUCUGGCUGGCCCAUCAAUCAUUACAAAUACACAAUACUGAUGGAAAAUGUUGAUAAUGGUAGAAUAUGAGAACCCUCUACUGGCUUCGCAAUUUUCCUGUAAAUUUGAAUCUGUUGUACAAAAUAAAGGGUUGGGUGUUUUUUUAUUUAGUAUAAUUUAACCUUUUGUGAUUUUUACAGAAAACCUUUGCAAAGCUUAUAAUGCACAUGAGGCAGUAUGUUUCCUGAGUUACAGAGAUCUGUGAUAUUGUGAAACCCUAUCCUGUAAGCCUAAAUGCAAGAGAAAAAAAGUAAAAAUAAUGUCCCAUGAGUCCUCUCCAACAAAAAUUAAACCACUACUUAAAAUUUUUAAUUAUCGAAAUUUACAGCUAUACUAGAAAGAUUCAUUUUCCAAAGGGUCAGGUAUCAUCCUUAGAUACUGUCUUCACUUUACAACUGUGAGAAACAGACAUUUCCAAGCACCAAUUCAUAUAUGUAGAAUAUACACAUAUGUACACAAAAUUUAAGGACAACAUAGCAAAUAAGGUAAGGAGGUGGGUAGGAUAGAAAUAUGAAAUUUAACUUUGUAGGGAUAAGAAAACAGAUUUCUAGAUUUGAUAAUAAUGUUAUCAUUACUGUGAGAUAACCUUCUUAUAUCAAUAGGUGGUGUUCAAAGAGAUUUUGAACAAAAAGUGCACCAUCAGCAUUAGCAUCUAAGAUAAUUCAUCUGGCAUCAGAAUUUGUGAUUUUGCUGAUUUCUGUGAGAAGACUGAGUCAUUUGGCAACAAAUGAUGUAAGACAUUAAACUUGAAGAUGAAGGGAACCACAAAGUCUUGUGAAAUUUUCAUGAUGACCUAGGAUUUCUUUGAAUACCUACCUACCUACCUACAUAUAUACAUACAUAAAACAAAGUUGCUGCUGAGAUAAAAUAUAUAUACAAAAAUGGGUUCUUUUUUAAGAAAAGAAUGAUAAUUAAGUGCUAGAAAAAAAUUUAAGUAUUUUCAGUUCUUCUGGAAGAAACCGUGUCAAAUAUACCAUGUCAAAUAUAAAAGUCUUAUUUAUUUCUAUAAUUAUUACUAUUUAAGGAUGCCUAUAGAAUUACAUAUAAUCUGGCAGUCCCAUUCCUAGGAAUAUGUCUAGGCAAAACUAUAAUUCAAAAAGAUACAUGCAUCCCUAUGCUCAGAGCAGCACUAUUCACAAUAGCCAAAACAUGGAAGUAACCUAAAUGUCCAUCAACAGAUGAACAGAUUUAGAAGAUAUGGUACAUAUACACAAUGGAAUACAACUCAGCCGUAAAAAGAACAAAAUAAUACCAUUUACAGCAACAUGGAUGCAGCUAGAGAUUACCACACUAAGUAAGUCAGAAAGAGAAAGACAAAUACCAUAUGAUAUCACUUAUAUGUGGACUCUAAAAUAUGGCGCAAAUGAAUCUAUCUACACAACAGAAGCAGACUCAGACAUGCAGAACAGACUUGUGGUUGCCAAGAGGGAGAGGGGAGGGAGAGGGAUGGACUGGGGGUUUGGGGUUAGUAGAUGCAAACUAUUACAUUUAGAAUGGAUAAGCAGGACUUCCCUUUGUGUCUCAACAGUAAGAACCCGACUAGUAUCCAUGAGGAUGCAGGUUCAAUCCCUGUCCUUAGUAGGUUAAGGAUCCAGCACUGCUGUGAGCUAUGGUGUAGCUCUCAGAUAUGACUCAGAUCCCACAUUGCUGUGGCUGUGGCAUAGGCCAGCAGCUAUAGUUCUGAAUCAACCCCUAGCUGGGAGCUUCCAUAUGCUACAGAUGCAAAAAAAAAAAAAAAAACGGAAUGGAUAAUCAAUGAGGUCCUACUAUACAGCACAGGGAACUAUAUCCAAUCUCCUAGUUCCACAGAAGUGAAAAGAGCAUAAAAAAGAAUGUAUAUAUAACUGAACCCCUUUGCUGUACAGCAGAAAUUGGCACGAUAUUGUAAAUCAAUUAUAAUUUAAAUUUUUAAAACAUUUUAAAAAAGAAUGUCUAAGGAGUUCAUUUAUGGCAUAGUGGGUUAAGUAGCUGGUCUUGUCACUGCUGCAAUGCUGGUUAAGUCCCUGGCCUGGGAACUUCUGCAUGCCACAGGUGUUGCUGAAAAAAAAAAAUGCUUAACUUCAAAUACAUUUUUUCAAUUGGGACAUUCAUUACACUGAAUGAAACCACAGAUAUAAUUUAUCUUAUGUUUUGGGUCCUGUUAAAAGUGUGAAAAACAAAAACAACUUUGGUGGCGUAUCAUUCAAUUACAUUAUUUUGAACAGAUGCUGGGUUGUGUUCAGUUGUUAAACAUAAACAAAAGUUUGGAUGUGAAUUGGAUAAAAAUUGGUCUUUUUUUUUGGCCUCACCCUGUGGCAUGAGGAAAUUCCUGGGCCAGGGAUCGAACCCAAGCCACAGAAGUGACAACAUCAGAUCCACACCACAGGAGGACUCCAAAAUAGGUCUUAUUUAAUUUGGGGGAUUUUUACUUUAAACAUUGUGUACACACACACACACACAAAGUAAAGCUUAAUUAUGGACUUCAGACCCAAAUUUACCUGUUAUCCUUUGCGAACCUAUGUCACUGCUUCUGAAGAAUUAUAUAUUCUAUACAAUGUGCUUUUCCACCUUUCUUAUGGCAGCUGUUUCAAACCCAAAUGGAAAGAUGAAUGAGAAAAACUCCCUACUUUUAAAAUCUACCAUGGAGAGAAAACCAGGAGGAAGUCCAAGCUGGCCCUCAGGGAUCUUCCUAGGUUCAGCAGCUUGAGCUGGAAAAAGGAGCACAGCUUGUGCUCUUCUCCCUUUAGCAGCGCCAGAGAAGCACCAGUCAGAGUCCAAACACCCAGAGACCACUUGCUCUUAACACAGGAUAAUGGCCACCAGACCACCAACUCUGUUGCCUCAAGUCAACACCAGCUCUCCUUCACAACAGAUGACAGGCUUUCCAGUAGAAGGGUCUCCCAGAAAAAGAGGGAGCGAAGAGAAAUUCAACUUCACGUCUGUGCUAGGAUCUCAUCAAAUAGGAGUGAAAUGGACAGAUGAAAAAGCUGAAACUGAAGCCAGUCUAAGAGUCUGAGAGUAAACAGUAACCACACAGCUGUCAACCCUGGAGGGAUGUGUGAGGAAUUCAAACCCUCACUUGGCAAAGACCUCCAGGUGCUAUAGAGCCAUCAAGAAGAAAGGAACUUUUGCCCCAGUGCUCAUGCCUUCCUCAAGCAUGACCAGUCUUGGUGGAUACAUGGUACAACCCAGGAGGCUUAAUCUGUAUCUCUCAAUGCAAACCACAAUUUUGCAAGUAGGCCCCUUCUACCGUGUGAGGUCACAGCAAGAAGACAACUGUCUAUGAACCAGGAAGCAGGCCUUCAACAGAUAUCAAAUCUGUGGGUAUCUUGGACUUGGACUUCCCAGUCUCCAGAACUGUGAGAAAUAAAUAUUCAUUGUGUGAG